GACGAACGCUGGCGGCGUGCUUAACACAUGCAAGUCGAACGGAAAGGCCCUGCUUUUGUGGGGUGCUCGAGUGGCGAACGGGUGAGUAACACGUGAGUAACCUGCCCUUGACUUUGGGAUAACUUCAGGAAACUGGGGCUAAUACCGGAUAGGAGCUCCUGCUGCAUGGUGGGGGUGGGAAAGUUUCGGCGGGUGGGGAUGGACUCGCGGCUGAUCAGCUUGUUGGUGGGGUAGUGGCUUACCAAGGCUGUGACGGGUAGCCGGCCUGGGAGGGUGACCGGCCACAUUGGGACUGAGGUACGGCCCAGACUCCUACGGGAGGCAGCAGUGGGGAAUAUUGCACAAUGGGCGGAAGCCUGAUGCAGCAACGCCGCGUGCGGGAUGACGGCCUUCGGGUUGUAAACCGCUUUCGCCUGUGACGAAGCGUGAGUGACGGUAAUGGGUAAAGAAGCACCGGCUAACUACGUG
Molecule: ribosomal RNA, 468 nt
Filed under: uncultured bacterium
Lineage: Bacteria
Description: partial 16S ribosomal RNA
Rfam family: Bacterial small subunit ribosomal RNA
Source: RNAcentral